GCGAAUUGCCCUUGGGUGCAGCAGGCGCGAAACCUUAGCAAUGUGCGAAAGCACGACUGGGUCAGUCCGAGUGAUUCCUGAUAAAGGAGUCUUUUACUUGUCCUAAAAGCACAGGUGAAUAAGGGGUGGGCAAGUCUGGUGUCAGCCGCCGCGGUAAUACCAGCACCUCGAGUGGUCAGGACGUUUAUUGGGCCUAAAGCAUCCGUAGCCGGCUCUGCAAGUCUUCGGUUAAAUCCACCUGCUCAACAGAUGGGCCGCUGGAGAUACUACAGAGCUAGGGAGUGGGAGAGGCAGACGGUAUUCAGUGGGUAGGGGUAAAAUCCUCUGAUCCAUUGAGGACCACCAGUGGCGAAGGCGGUCUGCCAGAACACGUUCGACGGUGAGGGAUGAAAGCUGGGGGAGCAAACCGGAUUAGAUACCCGGGUAGUCCCAGCUGUAAACGAUGCAAACUCGGUGAUGCAUUGGCUUAUGGCCAAUGCAGUGCCGCAGGGAAGCCGUUAAGUUUGCCGCCUGGGAAGUACGGACGCAAGUCUGAAACUUAAAGGAAUUGGCGGGGGAGCAC
RNAcentral lists this ribosomal RNA (562 nucleotides) under uncultured archaeon. RNAcentral describes it as "bacterial SSU rRNA". It matches the Rfam family "Archaeal small subunit ribosomal RNA", at positions 313 to 879 of the family's 1478-position model. The record is from RNAcentral.